This 793-nucleotide long non-coding RNA is filed under the name Callithrix jacchus (white-tufted-ear marmoset). RNAcentral describes it as "lncRNA (ENSCJAG00000081940.1)". Lineage: Eukaryota; Metazoa; Chordata; Mammalia; Primates; Cebidae. The record is from RNAcentral.
UGUGUUUGGCUGCUGAUAGGGCACUGGGAUCUGUGUAAUUUCCCAUGGAGCAACCCACUGCACCAGCUCAAACGUCUCUUCCUGGGAAUCUCCUGGUCUGGCUCACUGUCCAAGUCCCAUUAUUGCACUGAUUUUCUUAUGAGUAAAAUUGUUACAUUCAAACUCAUGCACAGAGUAUUUUACUGAAUGACAUUCUGCAGUAAGACCUGUCAUGAAUAUUGCUGAGAGACACAGAGUAUAAUUCCUACCUUAAACUUAAAUUAUAAAACUCUCAAGGAUGUUCUCAAAUAACAUUGGAUAAAUCUAUGCUAUGUCAUUGGAAGACAAAUACUUCUAAAGUAUAUUACACUGUUGUCACCAUUAUUUUUUUUAUUUGUGAGUAUGUAUAAGGGUUGCUUUAAAACCAAUUUCAAAAUAAAUGAAAAUUGAUACAAAGAAUCCUAAUCAUGAAAUUACUUUUACCUUAAACGUUUCCACAGUUUUUUUUCCUCUCUUUUUUUUUUUCAAGUUGGCUGACUAGGGAUGUUGGAUGCCAGCUCUCCUCAGAAAGAUCAAAGUUACAGGUGAAUGGUCAUGAUUUAAAUGGAAAUCUGAGGAAAUGGAGCAAGGUCCUGUUGGAGCACUCAUGAGAGGAUCCAGGAGCACAAAAGAGGAAAGCAACAAGAGACUGGCAGAGAUUGAUUCUCUAGAAACUUGGACCAUGAAAAGGGUGGGAAGGAGAGAAGACCAUGCUAAAUAUUACUCUUGGAAAAGUACAUGUGCUGCAGAGAAAUCUUUAUUCAUAGGCCUAUAA